AGUUUGAUCCUGGCUCAGGAUGAACGCUGGCGGCGUGCCUAACACAUGCAAGUCGAACGAAGCGUGCGGAUGGAAUUUCUUCGGAGAGGAAGCCUGCAUGACUGAGUGGCGGACGGGUGAGUAACGCGUGGGCAACCUGCCCUGCACAGGGGGACAACAGCCGGAAACGGCUGCUAAUACCGCAUAAGCGCACAGCUUCGCAUGGAGCGGUGUGAAAAGCUGCGGCGGUGCAGGAUGGGCCCGCGUCUGAUUAGCUGGUUGGCGGGGCAACGGCCCACCAAGGCGACGAUCAGUAGCCGGCCUGAGAGGGUGGACGGCCACAUUGGGACUGAGACACGGCCCAGACUCCUACGGGAGGCAGCAGUGGGGAAUAUUGCACAAUGGGGGAAACCCUGAUGCAGCGACGCCGCGUGAGCGAAGAAGUAUUUCGGUAUGUAAAGCUCUAUCAGCAGGGAAGAAAUUGACGGUACCUGAGUAAGAAGCUCCGGCUAAAUACGUGCCAGCAGCCGCGGUAAUACGUAUGGAGCAAGCGUUAUCCGGAUUUACUGGGUGUAAAGGGAGCGUANGCGGCCUGUCAAGUCUGAUGUGAAAUACCGGGGCUCAACCCCGGGGCUGCAUUGGAAACUGGCAGGCUGGAAUGUCNGANAGGCAGGCGGGAAUUCCUANUGUAGCGGUGAAAUGCGUAAAUAUUANGAGGAACACCAUGGCGAAGGCGGGCCUGCUGGACAAUGAAUGGACCCUAAGGCUCGAAAAGCUUGGGGAGCCAACCGGGAUUAAAUACCCCUGGUAAUUCCCGCCCGUAACCAAGGAAAGCCAGGGG
This 820-nucleotide ribosomal RNA is filed under the name uncultured bacterium. Its description in RNAcentral is "bacterial SSU rRNA". It matches the Rfam family "Bacterial small subunit ribosomal RNA", at positions 10 to 822 of the family's 1533-position model. The record is from RNAcentral.